ACUGGACGAAAGGGACCAAAAGGCCAUUCUUCAUAUACCUCAGCUCCGAGAAUAGAAGUGGUUGUGGAUUCGAACCA
RNAcentral lists this small RNA (77 nucleotides) under Arabidopsis thaliana (thale cress). RNAcentral's name for it is "ATSL087830". Lineage: Eukaryota; Viridiplantae; Streptophyta; Magnoliopsida; Brassicales; Brassicaceae. The record is from RNAcentral.